RNAcentral lists this ribosomal RNA (398 nucleotides) under uncultured organism. RNAcentral describes it as "bacterial SSU rRNA". It matches the Rfam family "Bacterial small subunit ribosomal RNA", at positions 45 to 433 of the family's 1533-position model. The record is from RNAcentral.
UGGAUUAGGCAUGCAAGUCGAGCGACGUGGCCGCAAGGCCUCGUAGCGGCAAACGGGUUAGUAACACGUGAGUAAUCUUCCUUAAAGUCAGACAUAGCUUCGUGAAAACGGAGGUAAUAUCCGAUGUGGCCUUAGAUCAGCAUUGAUUUAGGGUUAAAGACAGGGACCGUAAGGCCUGUCGCUUUUAAGAUGAGCUCGCGUCCUAUCAGCUAGUUGGUGAGGUAACGGCUCACCAAGGCUAAGACGGGUAGCUGGUCUGAGAGGAUGGUCAGCCACACUGGGACUGAGACACUGCCCAGACUCCUACGGGAGGCUGCAGUCGAGAAUCUUUCGCAAUGGGGGAAACCCUGACGAAGCGACGCCGCGUGCAGGAUGAAGGCCUUCGGGUUGUAAACUGC